Molecule: long non-coding RNA, 1355 nt
Organism: Colius striatus (speckled mousebird)
Lineage: Eukaryota; Metazoa; Chordata; Aves; Coliiformes; Coliidae
Exons: 4
Source: RefSeq, a predicted model, not a curated record
UUUCAGCAAGGAGAGGCCCCUUUAUUUUUCUGGAGAGACAACAGAGAUGUCCAACUCACCUCCUCGUACGAAUAAUACAUGGUGGGAAUUAAUGUCGUGUUGUCAGAGUAAUAUUCCACUGUUGCAUACAAGUAAUCACCUGGAAGGAAAACCCUGUCCUGCACUCCCUGAAACCACAGAAAGCAGGAGUUCACCUCAGGCCCUGCAAGCACAGAGCGUCCCCUCCAGGCGGCUUCCAGCGAAGUGUCGUGGAUUUACUGGUGCUUUGUGCAAAAUCUUCAGCCCUGGUUGGACUAAAAUGGCUUCACAAUCUGCCCAGAGUGAAAUCAGAGACUCCACAGCAAAAGGAAUCUCGCGUCAGACCGGCCCAGAGCUCCUCCAGAGGUCACCUGGAGCUCUCUAAAACUCCAUCCCUAACGUAGCCCCGCGUUUCCCAGCCACGGGCUGAGUGAGAAACCGAGAUCCACAAACCCAUCAGGAGGAAAUCAUCUGAAAACAGCCACCCAGCCUCAAGAUUUCAGCACAGACACCCCAAAACCUUUCAGCCUCCAAGACCCCACCCUGAGCGCCAUCCAGCAUCCCUAAAGCAUAGAAACAGCUCCAGCUGGGCACUCAACAGCCUGACAACGUUCAACCCCAAGCUAGAAAACCCAGAGAAAUGUAUUUACCCAGUGAAAAGUGAAGAACCAAGAGCGCUGCAAUUACGAAGUUCGUCAUCCUACGGGUCGGUGUCGGCCGCCCAGCGCUGCUGCUGCUCGGGUGUUUCUUGAGCCGUCCCAGCGGAGGCAGGAAAUGACUCUUGUGAGGGCAGGACCAAACAACCUCCACACUGGGAGAGAGUAAAAAAGAGAGAACAGGAGGUUUUGCUGCAAUUUGCCAAGCGGUGAGAUGUCAGGUUGGGCUGGAGGUCGGCCUCCGGGGCUCAGCAGGUACACACGACGCUCCGUGAUGCCGCUGCGGUGACUGAGGAUGUUUUUCCCCCUGUAAAGGCUUUUGCUGAGGGCUGAGUUGCAAAUCUUGAGGCAGUUAUUCCUCAGGGAGGGUCAGCGCUGCCGGAUGAGCACACAAACAGAGAGAGGAUGGGUUUGAUUAUGUUAGAAUUGAGUAUAAGAAUAGCAAAGUCCUUUCUGUCGUGUGGGCAGAGGCAGAAACGACGGCUGGGAACCAGAUUGGGUUCCCAACUUCCCAUCAAAUCAUGAGGGAUUUUCCUUUCUUGGCUUCGUUUCACCUUUCUGUGCCUCAGUUUCUCCAUCAGGAAGAAGAAACACAAAUGGUGGAUGGAAAUACCUGGAGCUGGGCUGCUUUAGGAGCCACAGUCGGGGCUGAUGGUUGCUCUGUGGUGCCUUGAUCCGUGU